AUGGAGUUGGCUCGUCAGGGUCUCAAUAUGCGCAGAGAUGGGACGUGGGUUCGGACGAAUCAAAUCACCUGGUUGUGGGAGGCCGACUUGAGGCUUCAAGUACACCCUUUUUCUGAUAAAAAGCAGCUGUACACUGGGAGUGGGGUCGCUUGGGGGCAGGGUGGGGGGGUUUUUUUUUUUUCUUUAAAGUCUCAGGAAGAACAAAUGAGUAAUUUGGUCCUUUGGUUCAGGCCACAGAUGAGCACAGCACACUGUUCAGAAAGGAUGCCCUUGGGCCUCCCCAGUGGCUCAGUGGUGAAGAAUCCCCCUGCCAAUGCACAGGACACAGAUGUGAUUCCUGAUCCGGGAGGGUCCCACCUGCCACGGAGCAAUCAGGCCCGAGUGCCACAACCACUGAGCCUGUCUCCAGAGCCGCGCCUGCUGAGGCCCGUGUGCUCCAGGGCCCGGGCUCUGCAACAAGGGAAAGCCCUGCAGGGGGAGGCCUGCGCGCCGCUCCCUGCAACAACCAAGACCCAGCACAGGAAAAACAAAUGGUUAUUUUUAAAAAGAAAGAAAAGAUGCCCUGGGACGAGAGAUAGUGGAAGCAAGAAGAAAAGAGAUUGUGAAAGCAACUCAAAAUAAGUGUAUUUCACUGGACUCGCCUCUGAUAAGGUAAAAAUGAGCACUUCUGGACAGGAGGGGGAGGCAGUCAGUUAGCUGAGUUUGCUUCUGAUAUCUGCAAUGCUAUGGCCUGUUGAGGGAUAGUCAUUUUGGGCUUGGUACAGGGGUGCAGGCAAGGCGAGGGUGGGCUCACCAAAGGGCUCGGAGAUCACCAGCGGCAGCGGCAGAAAAGCCCACAGGGCUCGGCUGAGGCCGGCUGUGCUCUAAAGAGCAGAAUUCUAUUUGCAUUCUUAACUGUUGGCAGUGCUGGGCCUGCUGCCGCGUGGCCCUUCUCUGGCCGUCCGAGCAAGGGCUCCUUCUAGCUGAGGCACAAGAGCUUCGCCUGUGGCGGCUUCUCUUGUGGCAGGGCAUGGGCUCGGAGCUCGAGGGCGCAACAGCUGUGGCCCACAAGCCGAGCUGCUCUGCAUCACGUGGGAUCUUCCUGGAUCAGGGAUCCAGCCUGUGGCUCCUGAAUGGCAGGCGAGUUCUUU
Molecule: long non-coding RNA, 1130 nt
Filed under: Ovis aries (sheep)
Lineage: Eukaryota; Metazoa; Chordata; Mammalia; Artiodactyla; Bovidae
Description: lncRNA (ENSOARG00000025896.1)
Source: RNAcentral